Molecule: ribosomal RNA, 424 nt
Filed under: Fusobacteriota bacterium
Lineage: Bacteria; Fusobacteriati; Fusobacteriota
Description: Fusobacteria bacterium partial 16S ribosomal RNA
Rfam family: Bacterial small subunit ribosomal RNA
Source: RNAcentral
UGAGGAAUAUUGGUCAAUGGGCGAGAGCCUGAACCAGCCAAGUCGCGUGAAAGAAGACAGUCCUAAGGAUUGUAAACUUCUUUUAUACGGGAAUGACGGGCGAUACGAGUAUUGCAUUGAAUGUACCGUAAGAAUAAGCAUCGGCUAACUCCGUGCCAGCAGCCGCGGUAAUACGGAGGAUGCGAGCGUUAUCCGGAUUUAUUGGGUUUAAAGGGUGCGUAGGUUGUUCGGUAAGUCAGCGGUGAAACCUGAGCGCUCAACGUUCAGCCUGCCGUUGAAACUGCCGGGCUUGAGUUCAGUGGCGGCAGGCGGAAUUCGUGGUGUAGCGGUGAAAUGCAUAGAUAUCACGAGGAACUCCGAUUGCGAAGGCAGCUUGCCAUACUGCGACUGACACUGAAGCACGAAGGCGUGGGUAUCAAACAGG